RNAcentral lists this ribosomal RNA (253 nucleotides) under uncultured bacterium. RNAcentral's name for it is "partial 16S ribosomal RNA". It matches the Rfam family "Bacterial small subunit ribosomal RNA", at positions 524 to 776 of the family's 1533-position model. The record is from RNAcentral.
UACAGAGGGUGCGAGCGUUAAUCGGAAUUACUGGGCGUACAGCGUGCGUAGACGGUUAUGUAAGUCAGGUGUGAAAGCCCCGGGCUCAACCUGGGAAUUGCAUUUGAGACUGCAUAGCUAGGGUGCGGAAGAGGGAAGCGGAAUUUCCGGUGUAGCGGUGAAAUGCGUAGAUAUCGGAAGGAACAUCAGUGGCGAAAGCGGCUUCCUGGUCCAGCACCGACGUUCAGGCACGAAAGCGUGGGGAGCAAACAGG